UGGGGAAUAUUGCACAAUGGGCGCAAGCCUGAUGCAGCCAUGCCGCGUGUAUGAAGAAGGCCUUCGGGUUGUAAAGUACUUUCAGCGAGGAGGAAGGCGGUAAGGUUAAUAACCUUAUCGAUUGACGUUACUCGCAGAAGAAGCACCGGCUAACUCCGUGCCAGCAGCCGCGGUAAUACGGAGGGUGCAAGCGUUAAUCGGAAUUACUGGGCGUAAAGCGCACGCAGGCGGUCUGUCAAGUCGGAUGUGAAAUCCCCGGGCGCAACCUGGGAACUGCAUUCGAAACUGGCAGGCUAGAGUCUUGUAGAGGGGGGUAGAAUUCCAGGUGUAGCGGUGAAAUGCGUAGAGAUCUGGAGGAAUACCGGUGGCGAAGGCGGCCCCCUGGACAAAGACUGACGCUCAGGUGCGAAAGCGUGGGGAGCAAACA
RNAcentral lists this ribosomal RNA (427 nucleotides) under uncultured bacterium. Its description in RNAcentral is "partial 16S ribosomal RNA". It matches the Rfam family "Bacterial small subunit ribosomal RNA", at positions 355 to 774 of the family's 1533-position model. The record is from RNAcentral.